AAGAUGGCGACCGGCGCACGGGUGAGUAACACGUAUCCAACCUGCCGAUAACUCGGGGAUAGCCUUUCGAAAGAAAGAUUAAUAUCCGAUGGUAUAUUAAGAUCGCAUGAUUUUACUAUUAAAGAAUUUCGGUUAUCGAUGGGGAUGCGUUCCAUUAGUUUGUUGGCGGGGUAACGGCCCGCCAAGACUACGAUGGAUAGGGGUUCUGAGAGGAAGGUCCCCCACAUUGGAACUGAGACACGGUCCAA
This 248-nucleotide ribosomal RNA is filed under the name uncultured bacterium. RNAcentral's name for it is "partial 16S ribosomal RNA". It matches the Rfam family "Bacterial small subunit ribosomal RNA", at positions 85 to 334 of the family's 1533-position model. The record is from RNAcentral.